GGCGAGGUAGCCAAGUGGUAAGGCGGUGGUCUGCAAAACCAUUAUUCACCGGUUCGAGUCCGGUCCUCGCCU
This 72-nucleotide transfer RNA is filed under the name Candidatus Omnitrophota bacterium. Its description in RNAcentral is "tRNA-Cys". It matches the Rfam family "tRNA". Rfam says of the family: Transfer RNA (tRNA) molecules are approximately 80 nucleotides in length. Lineage: Bacteria; Pseudomonadati; Candidatus Omnitrophota. The record is from RNAcentral.